RNAcentral lists this long non-coding RNA (4674 nucleotides) under Homo sapiens (human). RNAcentral describes it as "HSALNT0077141". Lineage: Eukaryota; Metazoa; Chordata; Mammalia; Primates; Hominidae. The record is from RNAcentral.
GUUUGGGUUCAGAGCUAGAGAGUGAAUUUUAGAGAAAAGCAAUAGUUGUGACUCAUUCACUUUCUAAACUUUUACACAUAGUCAUUUACGAUAAUUGUUUUCUUUGCAAUGUAUCUUCUUAAGUCUCCCCCUUUGUAGUGUCCUAAUUACUGGUAGCACUUUUAGUUAUUCUAAUUUAUGCAAUUAAAGGUCUGUGACAAUGAAAACAUUUCCCCAAUUGCAUUUAUACUCUCAGGGUACCAGACCAGAAGAUCAGAUCGUAGAAGUUACUGGAGAAAAAGAUCAGCGGACAGCACUCUUGAACUACAUGCCAGGCCUCUUCUUCCUGGAACUCUAAUGGAUUUAAAUGGCUUAAGAGACGGGAUGAAUUGUUGAAAAUGGUUCUUUCAAAAGACCUCACGGAAGGCCAAAGACAAGACUCACUGAGGCCAAGCUGAUCAACAAUAUCUAUAAGUUGACGCAUUCUAAUCAUGUGGCGAUCUUGACCUUGGGAGCUUGAUUUGUGGACCAGUGUCCCCAAGAAGAUGACCAUCAGACAGAUGACAAUCCUCUCCAUGUUGCCAGGACUGGAUCUCAUAAGUACCAACAGUAGAGCUAGACCUUGGUCUCGUUUUCACUUCAGCUUGACUGAGAACAGGUAUACGUGUGCAUGUGCUAAUGUGUGGGGGCAGGGAUUGAUGGAGUCAACGAAAUGUGCCCCAUCUGCAUCUUUGACAGGAAAAAGAGAGAAUGGGUGAAUUCCAAUUUUCAGCAUGAAUCAAGAAUGUCACCGAUGAAGUUUUUGAAUGCUGUGCUCCUAAUCUCAUUUUCCUCCUCCAGAGACUUCGGUGAAGGAUGAUGCAAACUGUGUUUCUUCAGCAUGUGAGCACCAUCAGCCAUGAGUGUGGCAGCUCCAGAAUGUCUAUACCAGAGUGGCUGAGAGUCAGCAACUUGGCUGGAAGCUACACUUGAAUAGCAAACAAACCACUUUUACUUAGUUUCCAUGUCUAUUUGGUACCUUGGAGUACAGUGAUGAGUUUUACUAGAUGUGGACUUUCCAGGAAUAUAGCCAAGGUCGUCACCAUGAAAGUAUGAAACUUUAGUCAUUUACCCAAGGGGAUUCAUGGACAUAUAUUAAGAAUUUUCUUUAAUGGACUGUGUUUAUAGAACACCUGGUCAGGACGGAAAUGAGGCCAGGGAACUAAAGGGGUAGAAGUCUGAAGAGGAAUGGUUUUGCAUGGGAAAACUGUGCCAGGUCUAAAACUGGGCUGAACACUAUUUGUCCCCAACUCUCUGGCCCGGUCCUCAUAGUUCUUUCUGUGAUCCCUGCGUGGUGAAUACUCCUUUUCUGCUUUCACUGGCUUUGGCCCCUCAUGGAUAGAAUUAGAUGUUCUGCAUGGCAAACUGUGGGAAGAGAGGCCUCCAGUGUUUAGAGUGAUAUUAUCAUGUGUACCACUACUAUUAUACAUACUAAAGGUAUUCAGACAGGUGGCUUGUCUCUGGGCUUUAUAUAGAUCUCUGUCAAGCUAGAAGAAAAAUGUCACUAAAAUAAUUCAAGACAAUUUUUGUACUUUCCAACGAUGUUCAGGUAACAGCUGAAAAUAUUCUCACUUAUUUGACUUGAGGAAGAAAAUUCGAACGAGGAAAAUCAUCAAGGAUUUGCUAAAGUCCCUUCUGUAAAAUCUUCCUUAAGGAAGUUUAAACACUCCUAUUCUCUCUUCUCUCAUUCUUUUGAACUCACUGCAUGUAUUGAUAUCACUGACUUGGUUUGUUUUCUAGAAUAUAUGUAAAAGUAAGAGUGUGUAUAUAUAACCCAUUAUGUACAUAACAAGAACAGUUCCUUCCAAUAUUCAAAUUUCAUGACUCUAGAUCACUACUGUGCAUUCUAAGAAGGUCAGGGACUCAUGGAGACCAAAGGGUCAAUCCUGGUCAUUGUUGUCUUACGAGAGAAAAACAAGAGCCUUCUCGGGCCCCGUGUUCUCUAGCUCUUGAUGUGGCCUCUUCGGUAUCACUGGCAGCCCCACAGUCUGGUGGUCAGUGUGUCGCAGCAGAGGGUCAUUCACCGAUGCUGCUUAUCCACAGCACCUUUUCUGUGGGGAAUGGGGGCCUCUAUUCUGCUAGUAGACUCAGGUGUGUCACUCUGUGAUACUCUUAAGACUGGGUUCAUUGAGGACAGGUCUCUUUGCUAACAUUCACACAAAGUCAUUGUUUGGAAGCACAGUCCUGCUUCUGAAAUGCUAGGUCUGGAGGAGUUCCAGCAGCAGCCACAUGGGCCCUCUCCUCAGAUCUUGGCUCCAACAUGGGAUACUCAGCAGUGAGGCUAGAGAUCAGAUGUCCUUCAUUCCUUGACCACUAAGCCUAGAGGAUGGAGAGAAAGAAGUGGAACAUCUGCACUCUUCAACCUGAGUCCACUCCAACUCCAUCCCACAAGGUGAGGCAAGUUCCACCAGCCUCUCCAGCCUCCUGUCUAAUAUGAUCAGAGAAAUCCUCUUCUCUCUGGACUCAAGACCCAUCCCUGUUUCCUUCCCUAAGGCGACAGGUGGCUAUAGCACCCUUUGUCUUGGCCCUGCAGCCACCAAUACACAACCAUAAAAAUAAAGUAGUCCAAUUAUUAGCCUUCGCUGUGUCCUGUGUCCUCCUCCCAAGAGAUCUGCGGAACCUUCAUUUAUCACCUGAAUGGGAGCCUCCUCCCCAUGCUUUCCCAGGGGGCAGCCAUAGGACCUCACAGAGAUGUUACUGUGUAUCACUCUAGACUCUUUUCCUAUAUACAUAGAACAAUAAAGGAAUAGAUAGGGACACAUAGACACUUAAGGAAAUAGAAUUAUGUAUGGAGAUAGAAACAUAAAAAUAAAUAGCACAGACAUAUAGAUAUAGAAAACUGGUACUUUUACAUAAAAACUUAAUCUCACCAUAUGUAGUCUAUAAAUUUUUUUUUCACUCAACCUAUGUCAGGGACAGGAGUCCAUACAGGAUUCACACACAGGGAUAUCUCAUUAGAUUAAUAUUCCAUUGUAUGGCAGUACCACAAUUUAUCCAUUCAUAACCCUACUGAUAAACAUUUAGAUUGUUUCCAGUUUUUAUCCACUGCAAACAAUGCUGCAAUGAACAUCCUUAGACAUAGAGAUCUCUAAGCAUAUGUGAAAUAUAUUCUUUUAAUGUUGUAUUUUAAAAUACAUGUCUUGAAUUUCACUUCCUGAGUGGAAAGAUACUUUGAAAAACUUUGUAGAAACUGCCAAAUUUCCCUCUGACAUGCCAUACCAGUUUAUACUCCCAACAACAUAGAGUUUCUUUUCCUCUCAUUAAUACUUUAUGUUAUGAAUAUUUUAAAUAUCUACCAACAUAUUGGGGCAAAAAUAGUAUCCUCUCAUUGGUUUGUCUUUCCUUGAUCAAUAGUUAGAUCUGCUAUAUUUUCAUCAGUGUGUUUAUUUUUCCACAAAUUGUCUGAUUCAUAUUAUUUGCCAAUUUAUUCAUUUGUUUCUUAUUUACUUAUAAAGGCUCUUUUUCUAUUAAAGAUAUGUUAAACAUGUAGAAAUUAUUUUCUCUGUGGUAUCCUUUGCCCUACUGAGGUUUUGAGCUUUCAUGUUAUUGUGUCUGAGAAUCUUAUGUUUUAUGUCAUGGACCUUCGUUUAAUAGAAAGGGUGUCUCACCUAACAAAACCAAAAAUGGCAGUAAUUAAUUUAGUGUUCUUUUUGGUUGAAGAAUUCUAAUGCCAAGGAGUCAUGUUUAAUUCAGGAGCGCUUUUAAAUGAAUUUGCAUUUCAUUUGUCACAAGAUUAGCUACAUACUUCUUUGAAAUAUAAUAAUACAUUUAUGGUUGGAAGUGAUUUAGUCAGUUUAUAGGCAACAUCCUUCCUGUGCAGCAAUGAAUUCAUGAGCCCUGUGAACAUCAUUAUUUUAGAAAAAGAAUUGGAUAUAAUAUAUACUUCUUAUAUAUAGAGAGAUCCAAUCAUAUACCACAUUCAGGAGUGGGGAGGACAAGGGACCACAGAAUCCUGAAACGGCAUCUGAGCCAUCAAAAGAAUGUGCUCACUACAGUUUCAGUGCUGAAUGUUUUAUUUUACUUCAAUUCUUUAAAUAUGGUUUCUCCAUAUACAGGGUGUACGGUAGUUCUAAAAACGCGAAUGACUAAUUAACAAAGUGCAGACCAGGAAAACACAGACUCUGUGAGAUUUACCAAAUUGGCUCCAAGACUACCCUGAAGUCACCCUUUAAACUGAGAAAUAGUUAUAUCUGAUAGACUCUGUUGCUGCAAAUAAAGGGAAAUGGGAUGGCUCUUUCUGAAAAAAGACUUUGGGCCAAUCAAAAAGAUACUAUCAAUGAUUAUUCUAGCAAACACUUUUGUAUCUAAGUGGUUUAUAGACAUAAUCUCAUUUAAAGCAACAACCAUGAGAAAUAGGUAUUUUGAGUGUGCCUCUUUACUACCGAAGCACAAAGAAGAUAAGUAAGACAUUGAAGUGAUUGGAGGAACUCUCUCCAGAGCCUGACGACUUCUCUCUACAGCAGGGAACUGCCUCCAUUGCUGAUGUUGGAUUAAACAGAACAGCCUGUGCAGUUAGUUCAUGGAUUCCAUAAAGGGACUGGACCUUAAUGAAGACGUUCCUGACAUGGGUUUGGGGUAAGAAGGAGAGUCUGUUUGCAAAAUUAUUAUUGAUAAUAACUAGAAUUUAAAUGUAUAUCUUUUCUUGGUUAAUUAAAU